GAUCAAGCGCGAUAAGGGCGUUUGGUGGAUGCCUUGGCGGCAAGAGGCGAUGAAGGACGUGAUACUCUGCGAUAAGCUUUGGGGAGCCGAGAAUAGGCGUUGAUCCAGGGAUUUCCGAAUGGGGCAACCCACCUGACAUUCAGUUAUAAACUGCGUUAGUAGUUUAUAGCCGGGUGAGACAGGUACUUUCUUACUGAAUAUAUAGGUUUGAAAGAGCAAACCCGGGGAACUGAAACAUCUAAGUACCCGGAGGAAAGGACAUCAAUAGAGACUCCGUUAGUAGCGGCGAGCGAACGCGGACCAGCCAAGCCUUGAGUGUGAGUGGAACCGGAUGGAAAGCCGGGCAAUAUGGGUGACAGCCCCGUACACGAAGCAUGAUGGGAUGUAUCAAGUAGGGCGGGACACGUGAAAUCCUGUUCGAAGAUGGGGGGACCACCCUCCAAGGCUAAGUACUCCUUGCCGACCGAUAGCGAACAAGUACCGUGAGGGAAAGGUGAAAAGCACCCCGACGAGGGGAGUGAAACAGAUCCUGAAACCGGACGCCUACAAACAGUCGGAGCAUCCUUGUGAUGUGACGGCGUACCUUUUGUAUAAUGGGUCAACGACUUGGUCUAUCUAGCAAGCUUAAGCCGUUAGGUGUAGGCGCAGCGAAAGCGAGUCUUAAUAGGGCGCAUGAGUUAGAUGGAUCAGACCCGAAACCGAGUGAUCUAGGCAUGGCCAGGUUGAAGGUGCGGUAACACGCACUGGAGGACCGAACCCACAUCCGUUGAAAAGGAUCGGGAUGAGCUGUGCCUAGGGGUGAAAGGCCAAUCAAACUCGGAGAUAGCUGGUUCUCCGCGAAAUCUAUUUAGGUAGAGCGUCGUACGAAUACCCUGGGGGGUAGAGCACUGGAUGGGUAAUGGGGGCUUACCGCCUUACUGAUCCUAACCAAACUCCGAAUACCCAGGAGUACUAUACGGCAGACACACGUCGGGUGCUAAGGUCCGGCGUGGAAAGGGAAACAGCCCUGACCAACAGCUAAGGCCCCUAAUUCAUGGCUAAGUGGGAAAGCAUGUGGGACGACCAAAACAACCAGGAAGUUGGCUUAGAAGCAGCCAUCUUUUAAAGAAAGCGUAACAGCUCACUGGUCUAGAUAAGUUGUCCUGCGGCGAAGAUGUAACGGGGCUCAAGCCAUGAGCCGAAGCUUUGGAUGCACACUUAUGUGUGCGUGGUAGCGGAGCGUUCUGUACAGCGGUGAAGGGUGAGGGUGACCGAUCCUGGAGCGUACAGAAGUGAGAAUGUUGACAUGAGUAGCGAUAAACAGUGUGAGAGACACUGUCGCCGAAAGUCCAAGGGUUCCUGCUUAAAGCUAAUCUGAGCAGGGUGAGCCGGCCCCUAAGUCGAGGCAGAAAUGCGUAGACGAUGGGAACCAGGUUAAUAUUCCUGGGCCAGGAGGAUGUGACGGAUUGCGAAGAUUGUUUGCCCUUAUUGGAUUGGGUGAGCCGUUUAGCAGUCCCUGGAAAUAGCCCUCCAUGAGACCGUACCCUAAACCGACACAGGUGGACUGGUAGAGAAUACCAAGGCGCUUGAGAGAACUGCAUUGAAGGAACUCGGCAAAAUGCCUCCGUAAGUUCGCGAGAAGGAGGCCCGGUUCGUAGGCAACUAUGGGCCGGGGGCACAAACUAGGGGGUGGCGACUGUUUACUAAAAACACAGGGCUCUGCGAAGUCGCAAGACGACGUAUAGGGUCUGACGCCUGCCCGGUGCCGGAAGGUUAAGAGGAGGAGUGAGAGCUCUGAAUUGAAGCCCCGGUAAACGGCGGCCGUAACUAUAACGGUCCUAAGGUAGCGAAAUUCCUUGUCGGGUAAGUUCCGACCUGCACGAAUGGCGUAACGACUUCCCCGCUGUCUCCAAUGCAGACUCAGCGAAAUUGAAUUCCCCGUGAAGAUGCGGGGUUCCCGCGGUCAGACGGAAAGACCCCGUGCACCUUUACUACAGCUUCAGACUGGCAUCAGGCCUGACAUGUGCAGGAUAGGUGGUGGGCUUUGAAGCGGGGACGCCAGUUCCCGUGGAGCCAUCCUUGAGAUACCACCCUUGUUACGCUUGAUGUCUAACCGCGGUCCGUUAUCCGGAUCCGGGACCCUCUGUGGCGGGUAGUUUGACUGGGGCGGUCGCCUCCCAAAGAGUAACGGAGGCGCGCGAUGGUGGGCUCAGGUUGGUCGGAAAUCAACCGUCGAGUGCAAUGGCAGAAGCCCGCCUGACUGCAAGACUGACAAGUCGAGCAGAGACGAAAGUCGGUCAUAGUGAUCCGGUGGUCCCGCGUGGAAGGGCCAUCGCUCAACGGAUAAAAGGUACGCCGGGGAUAACAGGCUGAUACUGCCCAAGAGUCCAUAUCGACGGCAGUGUUUGGCACCUCGAUGUCGGCUCAUCACAUCCUGGGGCUGGAGCAGGUCCCAAGGGUUCGGCUGUUCGCCGAUUAAAGUGGUACGUGAGCUGGGUUUAGAACGUCGUGAGACAGUUCGGUCCCUAUCUGCCGUGGGUGUAGGAGAUUUGAGAGGAGUUGCCCCUAGUACGAGAGGACCGGGGUGAACGUUCCACUGGUGGACCUGUUGUUGCGCCAGCAGCAGUGCAGGGUAGCUAUGAACGGACAGGAUAACCGCUGAAGGCAUCUAAGCGGGAAGCCCCCCUCAAAACCAGAUCUCCCUAUUAGGGCCGAGGUAGACUACCUCGUCGAUAGGCUGGAGAUGUAAGUGCAGCAAUGCAUUCAGUUGACCAGUACUAAUCGCCCGAUUGGCUUGAUCCG
This 2781-nucleotide ribosomal RNA is filed under the name Rubricella aquisinus. RNAcentral's name for it is "Bacterial large subunit ribosomal RNA". It matches the Rfam family "Bacterial large subunit ribosomal RNA". The record is from Rfam by way of RNAcentral. Lineage: Bacteria; Pseudomonadati; Pseudomonadota; Alphaproteobacteria; Rhodobacterales; Paracoccaceae.